AUUUAGUUGGUCUGCCAAGAUGAUACAGUUGUUUAGGUUCUUCUUAUAAGAAGGUAACUGAAUAGCUGAGUGGAUAAAUUCAGUGCAGGCAUGAGGAGAAUACUAGAAGGAGCCUAGAGACAGUCUGAAGGAGAAGAGAAGGUAGUGGAAGCUUGGGUGUAUUCUCCUCCAUAUAAAAACCCACCAUGUAAAAACACUCUGCUUAAAAAUGUAAUUUAAUCUGGAAUAAAAUAAGGUAAGUACCUAUGGUACCA
RNAcentral lists this long non-coding RNA (254 nucleotides) under Chrysemys picta bellii (western painted turtle). RNAcentral describes it as "lncRNA (ENSCPBG00000012312.1)". The record is from RNAcentral. Lineage: Eukaryota; Metazoa; Chordata; Testudines; Emydidae.